Molecule: ribosomal RNA, 253 nt
Filed under: uncultured bacterium
Lineage: Bacteria
Description: partial 16S ribosomal RNA
Rfam family: Bacterial small subunit ribosomal RNA
Source: RNAcentral
GACGUAGGGUGCAAGCGUUAAUCGGAAUUACUGGGCGUAAAGCGUGCGCAGGCGGUGCUGUAAGACAGGCGUGAAAUCCCCGGGCUUAACCUGGGAAUGGCGCUUGUGACUGCAGUGCUGGAGUGCGGCAGAGGGGGAUGGAAUUCCGCGUGUAGCAGUGAAAUGCGUAGAUAUGCGGAGGAACACCGAUGGCGAAGGCAAUCCCCUGGGCCUGCACUGACGCUCAUGCACGAAAGCGUGGGGAGCAAACAGG